Molecule: unclassified non-coding RNA, 335 nt
Filed under: soil metagenome
Description: partial contains 5.8S ribosomal RNA, internal transcribed spacer 2, and large subunit ribosomal RNA
Rfam family: 5.8S ribosomal RNA (bases 6-121)
Source: RNAcentral
GAUGAAAGAACGUAGCGAAAUGCGAUAACUAGUGUGAAUUGCAGAUUUACGUGAAUCAUCGAGUCUUUGAACGCACAUUGCGCUCCUUGGUUUUCCAGGGAGCAUGUCUAUCCGAGCGUCGUUGCAACUCUCAAGCCCAGCUUGGUCCUGGAGGGCGCCCCGUUCCGCGGGGCCCCUCCCAAACGCAACUCACGUCGUGCCAAUUCGGUCGGAGCGCAGCAGAUUUGCAGCCCCGUCCGGCGUCGUCGCGAGCCGCCCCCGUGCGGACUUCACAAGGUUGACCUCGGAUUAGAUAAGGAUACCCGCUGAACUUAAGCAUAUCAAUAAGCGGAGGA